Molecule: unclassified non-coding RNA, 2261 nt
Filed under: Hevea brasiliensis (rubber tree)
Lineage: Eukaryota; Viridiplantae; Streptophyta; Magnoliopsida; Malpighiales; Euphorbiaceae
Source: RNAcentral
AGAAAUAAGCUCAACUAAGCAUUUACAGCCAUUUGGAAUUGCUGUGGAACACGAAGCAAGGGAGCUUGGGCAGCCCCAGGCUUGCCAAGUUGGCCACAAGCAGCCAUCUGAUCAUCCCCUCUACUGUGCCUCAAGAAAACAGUGCAUUUGGCCUCUGCCAAAAUAUUUCGAAACUCUAUCAUCUUCUCCGAACUGGUUGGUCUAAACUGGGAUCCACAAUGAGGAUUAAAUUGAAUGAGAUUUAUCUUGCAUGGAAUGCCUUGUACAAGAUCAAUAAGCCUCUUUGCAUCCUCAAAGCUGAAAACAAAACAAACAUUAAUGCAUUGACUAAAGCUUGAAAUAAAUAAACAAUUCAAACCACCUGAUUGGAAAAAGGAACGCAAUGAGGCCAUAGUACAGUGAAUGUGUUGCCCAAGUCUAAGGAGGCAAUAAUAACAAUAAUGUGCUAAAAGCAAUCACUAAGUUUAAUACACUGACAACUUGCCCACAAUGUUUCACUAAGCAAUUCUAGUACAGUCAGUGAUGAAGGAUAAAUUACUAUUGCUUGCUCUUACAAUAAAGAAACUAAUAAAAUUAGUUUGCCUCUAAUUUGUUCUGAGAAUUCUAGGGAGUAUUUGCUUGGCUCACCAAUCACCAUAUGAGAAAUUUCUUACUUUGAUAUAAAUCAAUGUAAGAUUCAAUAGCAUAAAGCAUAAAUUCAGCCAAUGAAAAAUUUCAAAGGAAAGGAACAUACAAUUUUAGGAUGUCAAUAAACCACAAAAUAGACAGUGCUUUUCUUGACCACAGCAUUUUUAGACAUUCUCAGCUAAAUCCAUAACAUUGAGGGUGAUAAAGGUCUCACAUACUAACGUACUAUAGGCUAAGAACAUAUCACACAAAUCAUUCUUGCAUUAAAUAAGUUGAACCCAGAGAGCAAUUGGGCCAGAAAAAGACAUGCUAGCUUGAUUGACAGACCAACCAUACAUAUUUAUCUUUCUGAUUUGCAAGUUUAUAUGGUCAAAGCGUAUGAUGUCAAUUAUGCAAUUAAACCCUAAGAAUGCUGCAUUCAACAUUUCAAAUGGCACAAAACAAUAUUAACUGAGAAAGGAAAAGGUUUAUUUAACCUGUCGUUUACUCCUGCAAGCAUCACAUACUCAAAUAAAACUUUGAAAUUCUUUUUGAACUGAAGUUCCUUCCGAAGGGUGUCAAGAAGCAAGCUUAAGUUAUAUUUCCGGUUAAUUGGCAUGAUCCAGUUUCUGACCUGCAUAGAUCAUUGAUUAUUAAUCUAAGAUAAAGUCAAUAACAUGCAAGUGCUUUCCUCAGUGAAUAAAGAUGGGGCUGAAUGUAAAUACACCUCAUCAGUUGUAGCAUUCAGGCUAACAGCUAAAGCACAAUUGGACUCCUGAAGAAAACGUUUCAAUUGGGGGACAAGCCCACUUGUAGAAAUAGUGACCUUGCGAGGACUGAAAUGAAGACCCUGGUCAUGCACCAUAAUAUCUGCAGCUUUAAUGACGUUUUCAAUGUUCUGAAGUGGCUCUCCCAUGCCCUACAAGUACAUAUUUCAACGUCUAUAAUUAAAAACUAAUGGGCUUAUUAAAAAUCUAUUUGAUAUCUGAAGGAGAGUUCUUCCCAUCAUGAAGUAGUAAUCUUUUGCUAGAACAGCACGAUUACAAGAUGCAAAGCAGCUGAAGCGAGAGGGAUAUAAAAACUUACAAGGGCUAGUUGGAUGUAAAUGCCCAUAGGUAAUAUACAUACAAUCCAAAUUAGCAUAGUCCAAUGGCUGAACAAGAAUUCCAACCAAAGAAUGAGGAAUAACAUGCGUGCUUAAUUGCACACAUCAUGUGUGUGUUUCUCUCCAUGAGCACAAGAUAUAUAGCAACAAUAAAAUGAAUGAAAUCCUCACUUUCCCCUUUUCUUUUGUUGGUAAAUAUUUAAAUCCCUCAUAGAUAGAUUGCAAUAAAAGACUGAGCCAGAUCUAAUUUUGUCUAAACAAUUUGGAAAAACUUGUGUAAACUGAAAAUCUAUCUUGAUUAUGUACUUACCAUAAAUACAACAUUUGUGAUGGAGCCAACUUCACUUGCAACAAGUCGUUGUGCAAAUACAACCUGGUCUACAAUCUCUGCCGUGGUCAGAUGUCUCUUCAAACCCAUCCUGCCAGUGUAGCAGAACUGACAAUUCAUUGCACACCCCACUUGACUUGAAACACAAACUGUUGUUCUACCUCUAUCACAAGGUAUGAUAACCGUCUCUAUUACCAGUUGAUCAUCCAACCUAAAUAAAAU